GACGAACGCUGGCGGCGCGCCUAAUACAUGCAAGUUGAGCGCUGAAGGUUGGUACUUGUAUCAACUGGAUGAGCAGCGAACGGGUGAGUAACGCGUGGGGAAUCUGCCUUUGAGCGGGGGACAACAUUUGGAAACGAAUGCUAAUACCGCAUAAAAACUUUAAACACAAGUUUUAAGUUUGAAAGAUGCAAUUGCAUCACUCAAAGAUGAUCCCGCGUUGUAUUAGCUAGUUGGUGAGGUAAAGGCUCACCAAGGCGAUGAUACAUAGCCGACCUGAGAGGGUGGUCGGCCACAUUGGGACUGAGACACGGCCCAAACUCCUACGGGAGGCAGCAGUAGGGAAUCUUCGGCAAUGGACGAAAGUCUGACCGAGCAACGCCGCGUGAGUGAAGAAGGUUUUCGGAUCGUAAAACUCUGUUGGUAGAGAAGAACGUUGGUGAGAGUGGAAAGCUCAUCAAGUGACGGUAACUACCCAGAAAGGGACGGCUAACUACGUG
This 497-nucleotide ribosomal RNA is filed under the name uncultured bacterium. RNAcentral describes it as "partial 16S ribosomal RNA". It matches the Rfam family "Bacterial small subunit ribosomal RNA", at positions 28 to 507 of the family's 1533-position model. The record is from RNAcentral.